AACGCACAUUGCGCCCACUAGUAUUCUGGUGGGCAUGCCUGUUCGAGCGUCAUUUCGACCAUUAAGCCCUGUUGCUUAGUAUUGGGAACCUACUGUAGCAGUAGUUCCUGAAAGCUAGUGGCGGAGUCACGGCGUGCUCUCAGCGUAGUAAUAUCUUCUCGCUCGUGAAUAGCCUUGGCCCCAGCCAUAAACCUUUUAUAAUAUCCAAUGGUUGACCUCGGAUCAGGUAGGAAUACCCGCUGAACUUAA
Molecule: unclassified non-coding RNA, 249 nt
Filed under: uncultured fungus
Lineage: Eukaryota; Fungi
Description: partial contains 5.8S ribosomal RNA, internal transcribed spacer 2, and large subunit ribosomal RNA
Source: RNAcentral